Molecule: unclassified non-coding RNA, 2974 nt
Filed under: Leishmania donovani
Lineage: Eukaryota; Euglenozoa; Kinetoplastea; Trypanosomatida; Trypanosomatidae
Description: gene:LdHU3.16.0300(CDS-product:Elongator-like_Pro tein_3a_putative)
Source: RNAcentral
UCUCCCUCCGCUUCAUGCGUGUGUCACGGAUCAGGCGUGUAUCGCGAGCAACGCAGCAUCUCCCACCGGAGCUCGUCACAUACGUGGGCUGUGCGCCUUUCGGAGAACAGAUUUGUGGGUGGGUAAGCCGUUCUAGAUGCAGUGACAAGGAUCAUCGUUCACCGUUUCUGGCGCACUCGUCAGUGGAGAGACUGCCCUCACCUGCACCUGUUUAGUUGUUCGUUAUGUCGUCUUUUCCUUGCUCUUGGGGUGUGCCCGUCAUGUCCUCUGAUAGCGACACGGAGGGCGAGGCACCGUCGGCGACGCAGUCGCCUGUGGACUGGAACCGGAUCGAGCACAAGUUGGCUAAUCUGCCGACGCUGGAGCGGCUUCUGCAGGAGUCGAAUCCAAACGACUUCUCCGACGCGGAUGUGGAGGAGGCGUCGCGAUUUGUGCGCGAUAUCGUAGCGACUGCCCCGCAGUGCAACACAGACAUCGAGAAGGCUCAGCGUCAACUUCAAAGGAAGUACCGUCGCGUGUUCAAGAAGUCACUGCUACUCGCGGGGUACAAGCACCUGCUGCGCGAGUCUAUGGCAGCGGCGAAUGGCGUCAACAUACUUGCACAGCCACACCAGGAGAACUGUGGCUCUUCUGGUGCACUCACUGCUGCUGUUCUCCCGGACAUGGAGGACGCCGUAUCACCGCCGGCCCCGUCUGCGUCUGGGACUUUGCCGUCCCCCAGUCUGAAGACGCCUGUGGUGUGUCCAGUACUGGAGCGCUACCUCGUGUUCAAGGCUCCGCGUAGUCAGUCCGGCGUGCUGGUCGUUACUGUGUUCACCUCCGCUUACCCGGACGGGCAGAACUUCAGCUGCGGGUGGAACUGUUAUUACUGCCCCAACGAGCCGGGUCAGCCACGCAGCUACUUGCUGAACGAGCCCGGCGUGCGGCGGGCGAAUCGCCUCGAGUUUGACCCGUACCGCCAGUUCGAAGAGCGCGUCCGCUCUCUCGUGGCGAUCGGCCACCCCGCCGAUAAAGUCGAGCUGCUGGUAUUGGGCGGCACCUGGGAGAGCUACCCGCGCCCGUAUCGCGAGCGCUUCAUCCGCGACCUCUUCUACGCGGCCAACACCAUGUUUGAUCCUCCGCACGCUCCGCGACGGCCACCGCUGGACCUGCUCCAGGAGCAGCUGCUGAAUGAGUCCGCGCAGUGCAAGAUCAUUGGAGUGACGCUGGAGACGCGGCCGGACACUAUCAACCCAGAUAUGCUCGUGGAGCUGCGUCGGUUCGGCUGCACUCGCGUGCAGCUCGGCGUGCAGCACACGGACGACGGCAUUCUCACCCUUGUAAAUCGCCAGUCUACCCGCGAGGACACCGCCAAUGCCAUCAAGCUGUUGAAGGACAGCUGCUUCAAGGUGGACAUCCAUCUCAUGCCUGACCUGCCCGGGGCAAGCCCCGCCGUCGAUAAGGCCAUGUUCGAUGACGUACUCGACUCCCCGUAUCUUCAGGCGGACCAGUGGAAGAUCUACCCAUGCCAAACAACGCCGUUCUCUGUAAUUGAGCAGUGGUACAAGGACGGCAAGUACACGCCCUACGGCCUGGAGAACUUGAUCGACGUGCUGCUCUAUGCGAAGGCGCGCGUGCACCCGUGGAUCCGCAUCAACCGCGUCAUCCGCGACAUUCCUGUGGACUACGUCCUUGCUGGCGUCGAGGUGGCAAACCUGCGCCAACUGCUCGCCCACAAGUUGCGAGAGCGCGGGGGGCGAUGCCGCUGCAUCCGGUGCCGUGAAAUCAAGGGGGACAAAGAAGUCACGGAGAAGCUGAAGUCGGCCACCCUGCAGGAGCGGCGCUACGAGGCAAGCGAGGGGACGGAGGUGUUUCUAUCGGUCGAGAUGCCGACGGACGACGCGACCAUCUUAGGCUUCCUGCGCCUGCGACUGAACAUCCGCAACUGGGAGACACCGUUCGCGGAGCUCCUGCCGUGCGCGCUGAUUCGCGAGCUGCACGUGUACGGCAAUCUCCUGCCCACCUACGUGGAGGAGGCGGGCCGCUUGCAUACACCCGCAGCCCAACACAGCGGCAUUGGCCAGCGCCUUCUUCACCGAGCCGAGGCGAUCGCCAGGGAGGAAGGGUACAGCCAAAUCGCCGUCAUCAGCGGCGUAGGCGUCCGCGGGUAUUACAAGCGCCGUGGCUACCGACUCCUGGCCGCCCACCGUGGCGGCUUUCUCGUGAAGAACCUUGACAUGGGCGAUGCGUUGACUGGCGCGCCGACAACCGACCCCAAGGCUGAACCGCUCGAAUUUUCUCUUGAGCGCGAUGAGGCGUUGCUGCGGCGGGUGGCGGCAAAUCGCACGACAUCAGUCUCACCGAUACCGGGUGGGGCACCGUCCCUCGGCGUAGCCACACUCGCUGCAGUGCGGACGCAGGCGGUUGCAUGGUACGGCCAGCUGCGCACCAGCGUUGCGCAGUGGUGGUCAGCGCGAAAACGGUGCCGCGAGGAGGAAACCGAGUGGCCGCAGCGGAGCGACGCGGAGGGACGUGCUGAAGCAGCGGCGCGCACUCUGUAAAUCGCACAACUCUUCCGCGGCCCUUUGCCGCCGGCUUUUCGUGCAGCGCGCGGCGGGGUGGUGAAGGGCUGCAGCGGCAGGGGGGGUGAGGUGCACAUGCGCCUGACAGUGUUUAGAUGAUAGCACGAAAAGGAACCCUAAAGCUUAAUCCGAUCGAGUAGAGCAACGAAGACAUUUUCAGCGCAUGGGAAGGCAGCAGCGCCACCCGAGCAUCCAUAACGUACACUGCUGAGGAGGGGUUUCGCUCGUUUCCGUGGCGCUCCUCCCGCUGAUCCUGAUGGGGCAUGCUGCAUAUACCAAAGCCACGUUGUUGGAGAGGGUGGAGUCCAAAGCAGAGAGGGCCCGGAAGUCGACUUGCGCGGACGCCCGCGUCGGACUAUCUGCUCCCUCCAUCGUUGUUAUUAUUGUUUGCUUUUUUUUUUCGCACGCAAGUA